Molecule: long non-coding RNA, 457 nt
Organism: Xiphophorus couchianus (Monterrey platyfish)
Lineage: Eukaryota; Metazoa; Chordata; Actinopteri; Cyprinodontiformes; Poeciliidae
Exons: 2
Source: RefSeq, a predicted model, not a curated record
GGGCCAAAUCUUCCUUUAACACUUGAGGUUCUGCAAUAACUUCUAUUUACAGCCGCGAACCUCCAGCCCAGAUCCCGUCAGCAGCGGCUUUAAUCCGCCUGGUAGAAACGUUAAGGAGAAUCAGAGCAAACAGUCAGCAGGUGGUACCGGGGCUUUGAGCUGCGUUGCGACUCGCGGUGACAAUCACAGUACCGUGUCUUAUAUCAGGAUGUCUGAUAUAAAGACAGAUAUUCUUUAUAUCUGUCAGUGGACCGACUCAAGCUGCCUGUAGUGAACCGGGCCUUUAGCAGAAUGAUGAAGUUAAAGUCAGAAGUUUCUCUGCAGCCGAAGCAUUUCUGUGUUUAGGGGCGAGGCAGGUUUUGUCUCGCUAUUGCAAGGACAAUUAUAAAAAUAUAAAUAGAAACAGUUUUUCUAACGUCAACAUCAGACCUACGUUUUUAUUCACAAACCGUUUUUA